CCUUAUUGGAGAGUUUGAUCCUGGCUCAGGACGAACGCUGGCGGCGUGCUUAACACAUGCAAGUCGAGCGGUAAGGCCCUUCGGGGUACACGAGCGGCGAACGGGUGAGUAACACGUGGGUAACCUGCCCUGUACUCUGGGAUAAGCCCGGGAAACUGGGUCUAAU
This 166-nucleotide ribosomal RNA is filed under the name Lentzea xinjiangensis. RNAcentral's name for it is "Lechevalieria xinjiangensis 16S rRNA. Bacterial SSU". It matches the Rfam family "Bacterial small subunit ribosomal RNA", at positions 1 to 167 of the family's 1533-position model. Lineage: Bacteria; Bacillati; Actinomycetota; Actinomycetes; Pseudonocardiales; Pseudonocardiaceae. The record is from RNAcentral.